This 253-nucleotide ribosomal RNA is filed under the name uncultured bacterium. RNAcentral describes it as "partial 16S ribosomal RNA". It matches the Rfam family "Bacterial small subunit ribosomal RNA", at positions 524 to 776 of the family's 1533-position model. The record is from RNAcentral.
UACGUAGGGGGCUAGCGUUGCUCGGAAUCACUGGGCGUAAAGGGUGCGUAGGCGGGUCUUUAAGUCAGGGGUGAAAUCCUGGAGCUCAACUCCAGAACUGCCUUUGAUACUGGAAAUCUCGAGUCCGGGAGAGGUGAGUGGAACUCCGAGUGUAGAGGUGAAAUUCGUAGAUAUUCGGAAGAACACCAGUGGCGAAGGCGGCUCACUGGCCCGGUACUGACGCUGAGGUGCGAAAGCGUGGGGAGCAAACAGG